RNAcentral lists this unclassified non-coding RNA (377 nucleotides) under uncultured bacterium. RNAcentral's name for it is "contains 16S-23S intergenic spacer region". The record is from RNAcentral.
UCCGGUUUGUCACCGGCGGUCCCCUUAGAGUGCCCAACUAAAUGAUGGCAACUAAGGGCAAGGGUUGCGCUCGUUGCGGGACUUAACCCAACAUCUCACGACACGAGCUGACGACAGCCAUGCAGCACCUGUCUUAUGGUUCCCGAAGGCACAACCGCAUCUCUGCAGUCUUCCAUAGAUGUCAAGACCAGGUAAGGUUCUUCGCGUUGCAUCGAAUUAAACCACAUACUCCGCUGCUUGUGCGGGCCCCCGCCUAUUCCUUUGAGUUUUAACCUUGCGGCCGUAGUCCCCAGGCGGUGAACUUAAUGCGUUAGCUGCGGCACUGAUCGGGUCAAUCCGACCAACACCUAGUUCACAACGUUUAGGGCGUGGACUAC